UACGUAGGGGGCGAGCGUUGUCCGGAUUUAUUGGGCGUAAAGAGCGUGUAGGCGGUUCGGUAAGUCUGUCGUGAAAUCCUGAGGCUCAACCUCGGGCGUGCGAUGGAUACUGCCGGGCUAGAGGGUGGUAGAGGCGAGUGGAAUUCCAGGUGUAGCGGUGAAAUGCGUAGAUAUCUGGAGGAAUACCGGUGGCGAAGGCGGCAUCCUGGACCGACAUUGACGCUGAUGAGCGAAAGCUAGGGGAGCAAACGGG
RNAcentral lists this ribosomal RNA (253 nucleotides) under uncultured bacterium. RNAcentral describes it as "partial 16S ribosomal RNA". It matches the Rfam family "Bacterial small subunit ribosomal RNA", at positions 524 to 776 of the family's 1533-position model. The record is from RNAcentral.